CACCAAGAAGUUAGGUCAUAUUUUUACGGUAAAAAGACAGUUAAACUUCCUAAAUUAUGGGUUUCUUGACUACUUAUAAAAAAGUAAAAUUUGAAUAUAAGUAUGUAAUUCUGUAGUAACUUAAAAGUUGAAUCUGUGACAGCCUUGGGGGAAACUGGGAUUAGAUACCCCAUUAUUCUUGGCUAUAAAUUAAAUGGGAUUUACCAGGGUACUAUGAAUAUUUAAAAUUUAAAACUCAAAGGGCUUGGCGGUGUUUUAGACCCCUCAGGGGAACCUGUCCCGUAAUCGAUGAUCCACGCAGUACCUGACCUCUUUUUGUAAUUUUCAGCCUGUAUACCGUUGUCGUCAGGUAACUUUUUAGAAAUUAGGAGUUAGCUAAAAAUAGCAAUAAAUUAGUACGUCAAAUCAAGGUGCAGCCCAUAAAGAGGAGAGGAUGGGUUACAAUUAUAUAGUCAUAACUACGAAAAACUAUCUGAAUUGAUAAUAUAAAGGAGGACUUGAAAGUAAAUUAGAAUAUAAAAAUAAUUUGAAUAAGGCUCUGAAAUGUGU
Molecule: ribosomal RNA, 549 nt
Filed under: Pusionella compacta
Lineage: Eukaryota; Metazoa; Mollusca; Gastropoda; Neogastropoda; Turridae
Description: partial 12S ribosomal RNA
Rfam family: Bacterial small subunit ribosomal RNA
Source: RNAcentral